GGCCUGUUGAUAAUAAUUUUAGGUCGGACCUGCCCMAUGAUUUUUGAAUGGCCGCGGUAAUUUGACCGUGCAAAGGUAGCAUAAUCAUUAGUCUCUUAAUUGGAAGCUUGUAUGAAAGGUUUGAUGAAAGAGUAGCUGUCUCUAUUUAAUUUUUUUAGAAUUUUAUUUUUAAGUAAAAAAGCUUAGAUGUGUAUAAAAGACGAGAAGACCCUUUAGAGUUUUAUAAUAAUAAAAAUAAUUUUGGUUUAAGGAUUGAGAAAUUUAUUUUUAGAAUUAUUUGGUUGGGGUGAUUGAAAAAUUUAGUGAACUUUUUUUUGAAUUUAAACAUUGAUUGAUGAGAGUCUGAUCCUUGAGUUUAAGAUUAUAAGAUAAAAUUACCUAAGGGAUAACAGCGUAAUUUUUUUUAGAGUUCUGAUUGAAAAAAAAGAUUGCGACCUCGAUGUUGGAUUAAAGGAAAUUAUUGGUGUAGAAGCUAAUAAAUUAGGUCUGUUCGACCUUUAAAACUUUACAUGAUCUGAGUUUAAACCGGUGUGAG
This 535-nucleotide ribosomal RNA is filed under the name Semiathe sp. ARC0689. RNAcentral's name for it is "partial 16S large subunit ribosomal RNA". The record is from RNAcentral. Lineage: Eukaryota; Metazoa; Arthropoda; Insecta; Coleoptera; Curculionidae.